This 282-nucleotide ribosomal RNA is filed under the name uncultured Bacillariophyceae. Its description in RNAcentral is "partial 18S ribosomal RNA". It matches the Rfam family "Eukaryotic small subunit ribosomal RNA", at positions 598 to 888 of the family's 1831-position model. The record is from RNAcentral. Lineage: Eukaryota; Bacillariophyta; Bacillariophyceae.
CGUAUAUUAAAGUUGUUGCAGUUAAAAAGCUCGUAGUUGGAUUUGUGGUGGUGCCUGCGGUCCAAAAUGUUUUGGUGCUGUGUGGCACUGCCAUCCUUGGGUGGAACCUGUGGGGCAUUAGGUUGUUUUGCAGGGGAUGCCCAUCGUUUACUGUGAAAAAAUUAGAGUGUUCAAAGCAGGCUUACGCCGUUGAAUAUAUUAGCAUGGAAUAAUGAGAUAGGACUCUGGUGCUAUUUUGUUGGUUUGCGCACCGAAGUAAUGAUUAAUAGGGACAGUUGGGGG